GAUGAACGCUGGCGGCGUGCCUAAUACAUGCAAGUCGAGCGAACAGACGAGGAGCUUGCUCCUCUGACGUUAGCGGCGGACGGGUGAGUAACACGUGGAUAACCUACCUAUAAGACUGGGAUAACUUCGGGAAACCGGAGCUAAUACCGGAUAAUAUAUUGAACCGCAUGGUUCAAUAGUGAAAGACGGUUUUGCUGUCACUUAUAGAUGGAUCUGCGCCGCAUUAGCUAGUUGGUAAGCUAACGGCUUACCAAGGCAACGAUGCGUAGCCGACCUGAGAGAGUGAUAGGCCACACUGGAACUGAGACACGGUCCAGACUCCUACGAGAGGCAGCAGUAGGGAAUCUGCGGCAAUGGUCGAAAGCAUGACGGAGCAACGCCGAGUGAGUGAUGAAGGUCUUCGGAGCGUAAAACUCUGUUAUUAGGGAAGAACAAAUGUGUAAGGAAAUAUGCACGGCUUGACGGUACCUAAUCAGAAAGCCACGGCUAACUACGUG
RNAcentral lists this ribosomal RNA (497 nucleotides) under uncultured bacterium. RNAcentral describes it as "partial 16S ribosomal RNA". It matches the Rfam family "Bacterial small subunit ribosomal RNA", at positions 28 to 507 of the family's 1533-position model. The record is from RNAcentral.